This 725-nucleotide ribosomal RNA is filed under the name Passalora sp. 1 JZG-2017. RNAcentral describes it as "eukaryotic LSU rRNA". It matches the Rfam family "Eukaryotic large subunit ribosomal RNA", at positions 111 to 867 of the family's 3401-position model. Lineage: Eukaryota; Fungi; Ascomycota; Dothideomycetes; Mycosphaerellales; Mycosphaerellaceae. The record is from RNAcentral.
AAAUUUGAAAUCUGGCGCAAGCCCGAGUUGUAAUUUGUAGAGGAUGCUUCUGGCCAGCGGCCGUUCUAAGUUCCUUGGAACAGGACGUCAUAGAGGGUGAGAAUCCCGUAUGUGACCGGCGCGCAGCCUUUCCGUAGCUCCUUCGACGAGUCGAGUUGUUUGGGAAUGCAGCUCUAAAUGGGAGGUAAAUUUCUUCUAAAGCUAAAUACCGGCCAGAGACCGAUAGCGCACAAGUAGAGUGAUCGAAAGAUGAAAAGCACUUUGGAAAGAGAGUUAAAAAGCACGUGAAAUUGUUGAAAGGGAAGCGCUUGCAACCAGACUUCGUAGCGAUGUUCCGCCGGUCUUCUGACCGGUCUACUCAUCGUCGCGAGGCCAACAUCGUCUGGGGCCGCCGGAUAAGACCUAAGGAAUGUAGCUUCCCUCGGGAAGUGUUAUAGCCUUUGGUGAUGCGGCGCGUCUCGGGCGAGGUCCGCGCUUCGGCAAGGAUGUUGGCGUAAUGGUUGUCAGCGGCCCGUCUUGAAACACGGACCAAGGAGUCUAACAUCUAUGCGAGUGUUCGGGUGUCAAACCCCUACGCGUAAUGAAAGUGAACGGAGGUGGGAAGCGCAAGCUGCACCAUCGACCGAUCCUGAUGUCCUCGGAUGGAUUUGAGUAAGAGCAUAGCUGUUGGGACCCGAAAGAUGGUGAACUAUGCCUGAAUAGGGUGAAGCCAGAGGAAACUCUGG